This is a non-coding RNA of Pangasius djambal, 72 nucleotides long. The record is from the annotation of a GenBank genome assembly. NCBI's taxonomy places the organism in Eukaryota, Metazoa, Chordata, Actinopteri, Siluriformes, Pangasiidae.
UCCCUGCAGGACUAGGGGUUAGGCCAUGGUGCUUUUACUGCCACGGCCCGGGUUCGAUUCCCAGCCAGGGAU